RNAcentral lists this ribosomal RNA (253 nucleotides) under uncultured bacterium. RNAcentral's name for it is "partial 16S ribosomal RNA". It matches the Rfam family "Bacterial small subunit ribosomal RNA", at positions 524 to 776 of the family's 1533-position model. The record is from RNAcentral.
UACAGAGGUCUCAACCGUUGUUCGGAUUCAUUGGGCGUAAAGGGUGCGUAGGCGGCGGGGUAAGUCAGGUGUGAAAUCUCGGGGCUCAACCCCGAAACUGCACUUGAUACUGCCUCGCUUGAGUACUGGAGAGGAGACUGGAAUUUACGGUGUAGCAGUGAAAUGCGUAGAUAUCGUAAGGAAGACCAGUGGCGAAGGCGGCAUCCUGGCCCUGUCCUGACGCUCAGGGGCGAAAGCGUGGGGAGCAAACCGG